UACGGAGGAUGCAAGCGUUAUCCGGAAUUAUUGGGCGUAAAGCGUCCGUAGGUGGCUAUUCAAGUCAGUUGUUAAAGCGUGGGGCUUAACUCCAUAAAGGCAAAUGAAACUGAUUAGCUAGAGUGCGAUAGGGGCAAGGGGAAUUUCCAGUGUAGCGGUGAAAUGCGUAGAUAUUGGAAAGAACACCGGUGGCGAAAGCGCCUUGCUGGGUCUGCACUGACACUGAGGGACGAAAGCUAGGGGAGCGAAAGGG
Molecule: ribosomal RNA, 253 nt
Filed under: uncultured bacterium
Lineage: Bacteria
Description: partial 16S ribosomal RNA
Rfam family: Bacterial small subunit ribosomal RNA
Source: RNAcentral